RNAcentral lists this transfer RNA (95 nucleotides) under Colletotrichum tofieldiae. It matches the Rfam family "tRNA". From Rfam's summary of the family: Transfer RNA (tRNA) molecules are approximately 80 nucleotides in length. Lineage: Eukaryota; Fungi; Ascomycota; Sordariomycetes; Glomerellales; Glomerellaceae. The record is from Rfam by way of RNAcentral.
GGCCGGCUGGCGCAAUGGUAGCGCGUCAGACUUCUACCUUCUCUUCAAGAGUUGUGGUGAUCUGAAGGCUGCGGGUUCGAGCCCCGCGUUGGUCA